This 728-nucleotide long non-coding RNA is filed under the name Rattus norvegicus (Norway rat). RNAcentral's name for it is "long non-coding RNA NONRATT026449". Lineage: Eukaryota; Metazoa; Chordata; Mammalia; Rodentia; Muridae. The record is from RNAcentral.
GGCAUUCAUGACCCCGCCUGGUGCUUGGGCCAGCCACACACUGAGGGAACAGGAGUGGCCCACAAGUAACCCAAGCAGUCUUGGUCAUGGAAAGCCACCUCUAGAACCUGGGUAGGACAUCUUCCCAGAGUGCCCCGUUUUGGCUGCUGUGGGCUGUGUGCAGCCUGCUUCCCCUACCGGCGCCGUGGUGAAUCUGUUAAGAACAGCGGUUGUUAGUUGGGACUUCUCUGUGCCCACCGGAUGGCCGCCCACCUGUCCUCUCCAGGGUCACCAUCUGUCUGGCUUUACCUUUGCAGAAGAAAGUUGACCCUACACUUCCAGUGGCCACCCGGCCCAGUGGCCCCAUGCAGAGGGUGCUGGCCAAGCGGCUGCAGAGGCAGCGGCAGCAGACACAGGCACGGCUGGAGGAUGCACAGCGCUGGAACUCUGAGCUGAGGCAGCAAGAAGAACACAGCAGGCAGCCAGAGGAGCCUCCACAGCCCCAGGUGGAGGAGCAGCUGCCCGGGUCACCCACCUGGGCAUUGCCAGCUCCCACUACCAGACCAGGGAUGGCCAGCCCCCGGCGCCAGUCAGGGCGGCGGCCAGAGAGCAGCGAUGACCGUCAUGUCAUGUAUAAACACGCUUCCAUCUACCCCACGGAGGAGGAGCUCCAGGCUAUCCAGACAGCCGUGUCCCACACAGAGCGAGCCCUCAGACUGGUGUCGGACACGCUGGCCGAGGAGAGCAGC